UGCUAGGACAAAAGUCGAGACAUAGGGGAUGGGGGUGGGGUGGGGGGAGACAAAGUCCAUCAUGAAGCAGUAUUUAAACAUGGUUACCAAGAAACAAAAGCUGAGAAAGGAGCUUGUACAAUACAUAAGCCUGAGAAAAAGGACUAUAUUUAUAAA
Perognathus longimembris pacificus (Pacific pocket mouse) is the source of this 156-nucleotide long non-coding RNA. RefSeq lists it as uncharacterized. NCBI's taxonomy places the organism in Eukaryota, Metazoa, Chordata, Mammalia, Rodentia, Heteromyidae. The transcript is spliced from 3 exons. The record is from RefSeq and is a predicted model, not a curated record.